GACGAACGCUGGCGGCGUGCUUAACACAUGCAAGUCGAACGAAGAGCGAUUGAGGCUUGCUUCUAUCGGUCUUCGUGGCGCACGGGUGUGUAACGCGUAAUCAACCUGACCUUUAGGGGGGGACAACCGUUGGAAACGACUCCUAAUUCCGCCUACGGUCUAAUCUCGGCAUCGAGGAUAGAUGAAAGGUGGCCUCUACAUGUAAGCUCUCACUGGAGGUGGGGAUUGGGUCUGAUUAGCUAGUUGGAGGGGUAACGGCCCACCAAGGCGAUGAUCAGUAGGCGGUCUGAGAGGAUGAACGGGCACAUUGGGACUGAGACACGGCCCAGACUCCUACGGGAGGCAGCAGGGGGGAAACUUCCGCCAUGGACGGAAGUCUGACGGAGCAACGCCGGGGGAGGGAUGACGGCCUUCGGGGUGUAAAGGUCUGUUAAUCGGGACGAAAGGCCUUCUUGCUAACAGUUAGAAGGAUUGACGGUACCGGAAUAGAAAGCCACGGCUAACUACGUG
This 510-nucleotide ribosomal RNA is filed under the name uncultured bacterium. RNAcentral's name for it is "partial 16S ribosomal RNA". It matches the Rfam family "Bacterial small subunit ribosomal RNA", at positions 28 to 507 of the family's 1533-position model. The record is from RNAcentral.